GUAGGUGGCAAGCGUUGUCCGGGAAUUAUUGGGGCAUAAGGCGCGCGCAGGCGGUUCUUUAAGUCUGAUGUGAAAGCCCACGGGCUCAACCGUGGAGGGUCAUUGGAAACUGGAGAACUUGAGUACAGAAGAGGAAAGCGGAAUUCCACGUGUAGCGGUGAAAUGCGUAGAGAUGUGGAGGAACACCAGUGGCGAAGGCGGCUUUCUGGUCUGUAACUGACGCUGAGGCGCGAAAGCGUGGGGAGCAAACAGGAUUAGAUACCCUGGUAGUCCACGCCGUAAACGAUGAGUGCUAAGUGUUAGGGGGUUUCCGCCCCUUAGUGCUGCAGCUAACGCAUUAAGCACUCCGCCUGGGGAGUACGGCCGCAAAGGCUGA
RNAcentral lists this ribosomal RNA (376 nucleotides) under uncultured organism. Its description in RNAcentral is "partial 16S ribosomal RNA". It matches the Rfam family "Bacterial small subunit ribosomal RNA", at positions 527 to 897 of the family's 1533-position model. The record is from RNAcentral.